UCUCCAUGUGACGUGAGGAGUUCAGUGAGAUCAGAGGAGCAGAAAUCAGCUGUAAUUCCUAACGCUGACCCCGGUGAGUGCUGACUGAGCCGUCUGUGACCGUGAGGACGGAUCUACGGCUCUGAAGUCCUGAAGAUCCAGGUGUUUCGCUGACGUCAGAGA
Molecule: long non-coding RNA, 162 nt
Organism: Epinephelus fuscoguttatus (brown-marbled grouper)
Lineage: Eukaryota; Metazoa; Chordata; Actinopteri; Perciformes; Serranidae
Exons: 3
Source: RefSeq, a predicted model, not a curated record